GUUUAAAGAUCUUGUUCAUUGCACUAAUAAGACUUUCUUACACAGAAAUAAGAAACUAACAGCUGUGAUUGGUGUGCAUGACUUAAAAAAAAAGAAGGAGAUGAUUGCAUCAGAGUGAAAUCUUACUACAAGCAUCCAGACUUUAACAAUCGCACUUUGCAGAAUGACAUUAUGCUUUUGAGGCUAAAGAAAUAAGUUGAACAAAACAAGAUUGUCAAGACAAUUUCCAUACCAAUACAAGAGGAAGACAUCAAAGCUGAUUCUGUUUGCAGUGUUGCCAGCUGGGGAAGACUGAGGUUUAAAGGGAAAUAGAGCACAUGUCUCAUGGAAGCAGAUGUGAAGAUCAUGAAUAACACGGAAUGCAAAAAUAAAUGGAAAGACAACUACUCAGCCUCACAGAUGAUGUGUGUCUAUGGCCAUGGAGGGAGAUUCAGGAGGUCCUUUGGUUUGUGGAGACACUGCAGUCAGUGUCACAUCCUUUGGUGACCCAAAAGUCUGCAAUAUUCAUGAAAGACCUGAAGUUUAUGCAAAGAUUUCAGAAUAUCUUUCAUGGAUCUGGUCCAUAAU
Molecule: long non-coding RNA, 567 nt
Organism: Cyprinus carpio (common carp)
Lineage: Eukaryota; Metazoa; Chordata; Actinopteri; Cypriniformes; Cyprinidae
Exons: 3
Source: RefSeq, a predicted model, not a curated record